Cornus florida is the source of this 4432-nucleotide RNA transcript. It is a transcript of the gene named putative disease resistance protein RGA1, with no coding region annotated. Lineage: Eukaryota; Viridiplantae; Streptophyta; Magnoliopsida; Cornales; Cornaceae. The transcript is spliced from 4 exons. The record is from RefSeq and is a predicted model, not a curated record.
AUUCUCUUUUGCAGCAGUGCUUCUUUAUAAAAGCUUUCUUCCACUUGCAGCCUUGUACCACUUCAACUUGCUUUUCUAGCAUUCGAGUAAACACAGAAAAGAAAGAGAGAAAAUAUGGCAGAGGCUAUUCCUUUUAGCAUUGUAACUGAAAUUCUGAAGAAGUUGGGCUCUUCAGCUCUGAAAGAGAUUGAAUUGGUGUGUAGUGUCAAAGAUGAGGCUCGCAAGAUGGGGGGUACGGUUUCCACAAUCAACGCUGUACUUCUUGAUGCGGAGAAGCAGCAAUCGACAAACCAUGAGAUUGGAGAUUGGCUUGCAAAGCUCAACGAUGCCGUUUAUGAUGCUGAUGACUUGCUGGAUGACUUCUCCACAGAAUCUUUGCGGCGGAAGGUGAUGACUCAGAAUAAAGGGGUCAAGAAGGUACGUAUCUUUUUCUCAAGCUCAAAUCAGCUUAUUUUUAGUCUCAAGACAGGUCAUAAAAUUAAGGCCAUUCGUGAGAGACUAGAUGCUAUCUCAGCAGAUAGGGAUGGUUUUCACUUUACUGAACAACCGCUAGAGAUUGGAUCUGAGACUAAGAUCUCCAGGGAAAGUCAUUCUUUUGUGUGUGUGGAUAAAGUUAUUGGGAGGGAGGAUGAUAAAAAGGCAAUUGUAAAAUCAUUGAUGAAUUGUAAUGUUCAAGAGAAUGUGUCGGUUGUUGCAAUUGUUGGAAUCGGGGGAAUAGGAAAGACUGAACUUGCAAAGUCGGUAUACAAUGAUGACGAGGUCAGUAAACAUUUUGAACGUAAGAUGUGGGUGUGUGUUUCUGAUGUCUUUGAUGUAAAACAAAUUGUUGAAAAAGUCGUAGAAAGUGCAAGCGGUAAGAAACCGGAGGGUCUUCAGAUGGAUAGAGUGCAAAAUGACCUUAGGAGAGAAAUUGAGGGGAAAAAAUAUCUGCUUGUGUUGGAUGAUGUGUGGAAUGAGGAUGGGGAACAAUGGAUAAGAUUGCAAGGUCUGUUGAUGGGUGGUACAAAGGGAAGUAUGAUUCUGAUAACAACUCGUAGUGAAUUAGUUGCAACUGUUUCAAAGACAAAUUCAAUGUAUACUUUGAAAGGCUUGUCUGGGGAAGAGUCUUGGUCUCUAUUUAAGCAACUGGCAUUUAAAGACGGAAAAGAGCCCGAUAAUCCAUGUCUAGUGGAAAUAGGGAAGGAAAUUACGGAGAAGUGUGCUGGAGUUCCUCUAGCCAUAAGGAUUUUAGGAAGCCUAUUAUACUCUAAAGAUACUGAGAAAGAGUGGUUUAAUUUUAAAGAUAAAGAUAUGGCAAAAAUAGCUCAAGAGACGGAAAUUAAACCAAUGUUGAAGUUAAGCUAUGAUCACCUUCCCUCGUAUCUAAAGCAAUGUUUUGCAUUUUGUCGCUUAUAUCCUAAAGAUCAUAUAAUUGAUAAGCAAGAAUUGAUCCAAUUGUGGAUGGCACAUGGAUUUAUUCAGUUGUCGGAUAAAAGUCAAGAUAUGGAGGAUGUUGGAGAUUCAUACUUUAUGGAUUUACUGAGGAGAUCCUUUUUUCAAGAUGAUGAAAGAGAUGAUUUUGGUAAUGUAAUAAGUUGUAAAAUGCAUGAUCUUAUGCAUGACCUUGCGCAAUUAGUUGCGGGAAGUGAGAGUUCCAUAGUGAGUUUGGAUGCAAAAGAUGUUUCUUCAAGAACUCGUCACAUGUCGUUUGAUUUGUCUAUGGGUAUAAAUUUUUUAGGGACAAUUCCAACUCACUUGCUUAGAGAUAUCAAGAUAAGAACAUUUUUAAUGCCAAGCACUACAUAUAUGAAACUGGAAAAAUCGGUGUGUGAAAUGAUUGUUUCAAUUUUCAAAAGGUUACGUGUGUUGGAUAUGCAUAACUUGGGGAUGAAGACAGUGCCGAGUGGCAUAAGUGAGCUGAGGCAUCUGAGGUAUCUUGAUCUUUCCUACAAUGGUGAGAUUAAGACUCUGCCAAAUUCCAUUACCAAGUUGCAAAAUUUGCAAACCCUAAAACUUAAUCGUUGUGAGCAUCUCAAAGAAUUGCCAAGAGAUAUUAGAAAAAUGGUGAGCCUUAGACAUCUCGAAUUUGAUGGUUGCAUUCGUGUGAGUGAUGAUAUGCCGCGUGGGAUGGGCCAGCUGACUUCUCUUCGAACAUUAACACAGUUUAAUGUGGGUCCAUGUAACAGGUUAAGGGAAUUGAAAGAUCUAAACAAUUUAAGGGGAGAGCUAAAAAUUAACCUACCAGUGGAAUGGGCAACAUUAAAAGAAGAAGCAGAGGAAGCGAACUUGAAGGGGAAGAAAUACCUCGAGUCACUGAGUUUGAGUUUUUGGAACUCUAAAAAGGAGGAGGAGGAGGAGGAGGAGGAGGAAGAGGAGGAGGUGUUAGUGUUGGAAGCUCUCCGGCCACAUGCAAAUCUGAAGGAGCUCAGAAUAUAUGGGUAUGGUGUUGUGAGAUUACCAACAUGGAUGAUAUCAUUGUCGUCCUUCCUCCCAAAUCUUGUUCAUGUUUCUUUAUUUGAGUGUAAUGGAUGCAAACUUCUUCCAAAAUUUGAGCAGCUUCCUUCUCUCCGAGCUCUUAUUCUUGGUGGUUUAACUUCCAUAGAGUACAUAGAUGACAAUUACAGUACUUGUAGUAGUACUGGUACUGGUGGUGGUAAAGAAUUAGAUGAUGAGUCCUUAAUCUCUUCUUCUUUUCCAUCGUCAUCAUCAAGAGGAGGAAGACGAGAGCCAACAACAAGAACAUUCUUUCCAUCACUGAAAUGUCUCGAACUCUGGGACAUGCCUAAUUUGAAGGGAUGGUGGAGGAGUAAAGCAGCAGCAGCAGAAGAUGAAAAACAAUCAACAGCAAACAAUCAAGAAGUGCAACUACUUCUACCAUCAUUUCCUUGUCUUCUUCAAUCAGAGAUCACGGACUGCCCUAGGCUAACAUCAAUGCCUCUGCAACCAACUGUUGUAAAACUAGAAUUGUGGAAUGUCAGCGAGAAGGUAGUACAACAGCAGUUACUGAUGAUGCCAACACCAACUACUCUGACAGUUGCAACGCCAUCUUGUUCUGCUUCACCUGUUCCUCUUUCCAACUUAGAGGAACUGUAUAUAGGGAAGAUAGAGGAUCUAGUUACUCUGCCAGAAGUGGCAUUCCAGCGCCUCACUUCUCUACGGAGACUAAAGAUUUGUUAUUGUGGAAGACUAACCUCUCUGUCCAGAGGGAUGCGACAUCUCACCACCCUCCGGUUUCUCGAGAUCAACUGUUGCAAAGAGCUUGAUUUGUCAGACGGUGAUGAUUAUGGCAUGCAUUUUCAAGGCCUUAACAACCUAACAUCUCUUGAUAUUUUCACGAUCCCAAAGUUGAAGUCUCUUCCUGCGGGGCUUCAGCGCCUUACCACUCUCCAAUCUCUAUUCAUCUCAGAUUGUGACAAUUUGAGAAGUUUACCAGAGUGGAUAGGCAAUCUCACAUUACUUCAACAACUUUACAUUUCCAAUUGCCCGAGAUGGAAAACACUGCCCGAAGGGAUGCGUCGGCUCACCGCGUUACAACAUCUGCAAAUUGAAUAUUGUUCACAGGAACUAAAUGAUAGAUUCCAAAAGGAAACGGGUAAAGAUUGGCGCAAGAUUGCUCACAUCCCAAAUGUUCAAAUACGUACAUCUUACACAUAGAAGUAGAUGCAAGCAUAGCAUGAACAGGGCCUCUCAUCUGUGCAGUCUCUUUUCUUGAUGAACAUUGAACAGGGCCUCUCAGCUUUAUCCACUCUAUUUUUCACACCAAAUUCUUGGAUCCACGUACGAGUGUAGGGAUCAUCUGGAGUGAGAACUCAUUCCAUGAGCAAUGCAACUACUCAAUAGAGAAACAUGUAAUCCAGCCUACCCAGACCAACAAAAGGAUCCAGAAGUGCCCACGUUGCUAAAAUCUACUGCGAAGGAAAGCUUGCUCCAAACUUGUAAUCAACUAAAGAAACUUAGUCCCGAAGAUUUAUGCAACUAUUACGCGGACACGUGGAAGGACUGCUGAGGCUGGUGGCGGUUAUGUGAUAGGGGGUGAGGAUGGUUGUGUUGUCAAGGCAGCUGUGUUCUUUUUCACUCAUGUGGCUGAUGCUUCAUCUGCUGAGGCUUUGGUGCUGAAACAGACUUUGACAGUUGCUGCUCAACAAGGGUUGGUGAGGUUUUGUAUUUAAAUUAAAGGUGAUGCUCAAGCUGUUGAAUGAAGGUAUUCCAGCUGUUGUUACUGAGGAUAUCAGAGUAUUGAGUGCCAAUUAGCAAUCGAAUAUAUUCCUGGAGUUGCCAAUCUAUUGGCCCAUGAUCUUUUGCCAAUGUGGUUAGCUGAGGUGGUGAAUCUUUAUUGUAAUUUCAAAAUUUUGAUUAAUAAGUUUCUUUUGCCAUGGAAAGAAAAAACAAAAGUAUGUGUUCGUUUCUCAAAGCCGCCUGUGUGUAAAAUAAAAUGCAAGAGUAUUUUAUGGUA